RNAcentral lists this ribosomal RNA (241 nucleotides) under Bacillus sp. 169B_5R. RNAcentral describes it as "partial 16S ribosomal RNA". It matches the Rfam family "Bacterial small subunit ribosomal RNA", at positions 128 to 357 of the family's 1533-position model. The record is from RNAcentral. Lineage: Bacteria; Bacillati; Bacillota; Bacilli; Caryophanales; Bacillaceae.
GCCCAUAAGACUGGGAUAACUCCGGGAAACCGGGGCUAAUACCGGAUAACAUUUUGAACCGCAUGGUUCGAAAUUGAAAGGCGGCUUCGGCUGUCACUUAUGGAUGGACCCGCGUCGCAUUAGCUAGUUGGUGAGGUAACGGCUCACCAAGGCAACGAUGCGUAGCCGACCUGAGAGGGUGAUCGGCCACACUGGGACUGAGACACGGCCCAGACUCCUACGGGAGGCAGCAGUGGUCAUA